Homo sapiens (human) is the source of this 3483-nucleotide long non-coding RNA. RefSeq lists it as uncharacterized. The transcript has 2 exons. Lineage: Eukaryota; Metazoa; Chordata; Mammalia; Primates; Hominidae. The record is from RefSeq and is a predicted model, not a curated record.
CAUUAUUGAAUCAUGUGUGCAUUAUGUCAUCAUCUGACACCUGCUGCAUUCAGGGAAUUGCCAGCAUGGGCUCACUCCAGCUGUCCCUGCCUGGUUCUCUGGAGUUGGCACUCCUACCUUCAAUGCAUCGAUUUGAAUCAUUAUUUCCAAACCCAGACGUCUGACUGCCAGCUGUGUCUACUUAUUUUUACUAUCCCUUAUACAGGCUGUUGCCUAUAAGUCUUCAGAAGCUUGGCGAUGGCUUUCUUUGACUUUCUUUAUUGAUGACUGCCCAGAAGGGCCCACACCGGUGUGAGUGGUACAGGGGAUGCAGGGAACGCAAGCCCAGGCAACCCCCCUCCCACGAGCCUCCCUACAAUUCCAGCAGUCUGUCCUGCCCCCCUAUCUGGAGUAGCCAAGAACUUAGGUUUGUGCUGAGCAUUUUUGAAGAGGCAGCAGGAAGGCCAGAAGCACAUCCUGCUAUCACAAAAUAAUACUCCAUCUUUCAGGAUCGUGAAAAUUUGAGUUAUAAAUUACGUGAUACAGAUUCUAAAUUAUGCAAGACUUCACAAGAGGUCAGGUGAAGGCUGGAUGGCCUCAGAAGGAUGGCUUCAGAAGGCCUUCAGAAGGAUUGCUACAAUUCAUCAUGCACAAGGUGUUGAGGGUCUGGAGCAGGGAAGGAAUCGGGGGCAUCUGAAUGGAGAAAUGGGGACUUGAUGGAGGAUUCAUGAAAUGAUUUUUAGGAUACUUGAGGGCUUGGGAGGAAUACACACAGUCUGGAAAGUCCCCCUGCUUAAGGGUGCCACAAUCCAGCUCCCGGAGGCAUCCAGAUGAAGCAAAAGGCAGCUGGAGAACAAAUACAAAAAUCUUAAUUAAAAGACCGUUUUGUGAGGUCUUCAACUUCUUCUCCAUUUCACCAACACGCUGCACAGUCUGUGUAUUCAGCGUCACCAAAGAGAUUUUUAAUUCAUCAGCCUGGUUUUUGUGGAUUGUUCGUUGCCUUCUCAGUGCUGUAACACAUAGAGACACUGGUACAGGCAUUAGGAAGGAUGGGAGAAGAUACCAAAUGGUAUAAGACAUGGUCUGGUAUUUCCAGGGAUAGGAUCAUCCAUUUAGGAAAACAGCUACAUAGAGACAUGCACAACAUUACAAAGAAACUCGAGAAAUUUCACAGAAAACAGCACAUAAUCAAUUGUCAAGUGGGAUCCCUGGAUAGUAACUUCAGGAAAGAGGAAUGUCUGUGAGUGAGCACACCAAGGCCAGGGCACGAGACGCCAGGGCUCCCUGCUGACAGUAGGAUAAUGCACUUCUCUGCUCAUCUCCUAACCACACUUGGAAAAGCCAUCCAAGCCAAGGCGAUUGUGAUGGUGCAGAUUCCAACUGCUGAGGAAGAACACCCUGGCUGGUGACUUUGCCCCUAGUCCUUGUCUAUCUAGUCCUCACAAACAUUAAUCUUCAAUGUUGUAUACAAAAGCAGACAGAAUUCUGCAUUUCAAGGACUCUAUUUCUGUCUUAAAAGUGGCAUGCAGGCUUGGAGGAUGCCAAAGAACAAAAAAUGCCAUGCAGAAUACUAGAGAGGGAUUUUAUUUGCAUUAAAUGAAAAAGAAUGAGUUCUCCAUCAAUGCCCUACUUCUUUCUUCAUAUACCACAUUCCCACCCACUCCUAUUCUAUUCCAGACCCUCACCACCUUGUGACAUAUAUUGCCACAACCCUUCUGAAAGCCUCCCUCAUCGGAAAAUCCAAAAUCUGAAAUGCUUCAAAUCUGAAGGUUUCUGAGCACCGACAAGACCCAAGUGGAAAAUUUCACACCGGACCUCAUUUGAUGCGUCACAGUCAAAACGUAGUCAAAGCUUUGUUACAUGCACAAAAUUCUUUAAAAUAUUGUAGAAAAUUACCCUCAGGCUAUGUGUACAAAGUGUAUCAGAAACGUAAAUGGUUUUCUUGUUUAGACUUGGGUUCCGUCCCCUGAGAUAACAUCAUUGUGGAUAUGUAAACAUCCCAAAAUCCCAAAAAAAAAAAAAUUAGAAAUUCAAAAUACUUCUGGUCCCAAGCAUUUUGGAUAAGGAAUACUCAGCCUAUAUCUCAUUCAUUAAGAUAUCAAUUUCAUUCCCCUGAAUUCCUUAUUUUAUGUCACCCCUAGUUAAGAGAACACAGAUUCUUUUCUCAAUAUUGCAGAGACAGAGGGAUGCUCAAAACUCCUACAUCAGCUGAGAUAGAUAGGUGGGUGGGUUGGCUUGUAGGUAGGUAGUUAGGUAGGUAGAUAGACAGACAGACAGACACACACACACACACAAACAUACACACACAACACAUAUCCUGAAACAGACACACAUCACUCAGGUCCUGACCUCAGAUAGUCAGUUUUCCUGCAGUAUGUUCUCCGAUCAGGUCAACUCUGAUAAAUGAAACAUCAUUGGUAAGUAUUGAAAAAAAAAAAAUAUAUAUAUAUAUAUAUAGCACAGAAGAUGCUGCUGCUGCUGCUGCUAGCUAACAUUUGUUUAGUAUUAAUAUGUGCCAGGUACUAUUCUAAGCACUGUGCACAUAUUAAAUAAUGUAAACCGAAUAAGAACUCAGUAGAGUAGGUACCUUUAUUUUCUUCAUUUCCAUAUAAGACUGAGGCACCAGCAGCUUUCAUCCUUUGCGCAACACAACACAGCUAUGAAAUGAAAGAGUCAGAAGAUGAGCUCAGGUGGUCCAAGCCCAGAGCCCACACUCUUCAUCAUAUAUGAGGCAACAUUGGGAGAGGGUAGGUAGUUGCUAUGAGACCUAGUAAUGGUCAUCAACUCAGCAUUUUAUCACCCCUUUUUACAGUUAAUUAAGUAGGAUAUUUUAAUGCAACAGAAAUCAGGACAAAUUCUCAUUAUAGCCAGUCUGUAAAGAGAAAUGCUAAAUUAAGCCUCUUCAAUUUCAGAAAUGCUGAAAUCUAGUAUAUUUCCGGUCCUCCAACAUGAUGCGGCUAUGGACCUGAGAUAAGCUCUGAAUGCCUGUCUUUUCUCAUCCACAGUGAGACUCAUUCACCAGAAUCUGUGCAUGUUCAGAACAGAGAGACUUAGAAGCUAGAGGAGGUCACGCAAGGUCGUGUAGCAGAGGCAGUGCUGGGCAGCUCAGUGUGGGAGACCCUCCCAGUAUCCCUCUACUGUGUAUAAGGCAGAGUACACAUUCUAGAUAACAUUACAGCUUAUUGUACAUGGAUUCUAACUAACUCAGUAGAAAGCUUCAUGAAGAUGGGAGCUGUGUCCUGUUGAUCCAUAUCUAUCACCAGGACCUGGCCCAGUGCCUGAGACAGAAGACAUAACGGGUAAUUAACAAGGAGGAUUAUGCACAGGAGAACAAACAGAACACACCUCUCUAUUGCGACAACUCUCAUUCAAGCAGACUUAUUCUCCAGGCAGGUCACGUUCUAUGCCUGUAUUUCUGCUUUAUAAAUGGCUUGCAGGCCUGGCAGGUGCCAAAGAAAAAAUAAAAUGUCAUGCAGAAAAAUAGCGAUUUUAUUAAAUGAAAAA